GAUGAACGCUGGCGGCGUGCCUAAUACAUGCAAGUCGAGCGAACAGACGAGGAGCUUGCUCCUCUGACGUUAGCGGCGGACGGGUGAGUAACACGUGGAUAACCUACCUAUAAGACUGGGAUAACUUCGGGAAACCGGAGCUAAUACCGGAUAAUAUAUUGAACCGCAUGGUUCAAUAGUGAAAGACGGUUUUGCUGUCACUUAUAGAUGGAUCCGCGCCGCAUUAGCUAGUUGGGAAGGUAACGGCUUACCAAGGCAACGAUGCGUAGCCGACCUGAGAGGGUGAUCGGCCACACUGGAACUGAGACACGGUCCAGACUCCUACGGGAGGCAGCAGUAGGGAAUCUUCCGCAAUGGGCGAAAGCCUGACGGAGCAACGCCGCGUGAGUGAUGAAGGUCUUCGGACCGUAAAACUCUGUUAUUAGGGAAGAACAAAUGUGUAAGUAACUAUGCACGUCUUGACGGUACCUAAUCAGAAAGCCACGGCUAACUACGUG
This 497-nucleotide ribosomal RNA is filed under the name uncultured bacterium. RNAcentral's name for it is "partial 16S ribosomal RNA". It matches the Rfam family "Bacterial small subunit ribosomal RNA", at positions 28 to 507 of the family's 1533-position model. The record is from RNAcentral.